This 473-nucleotide ribosomal RNA is filed under the name uncultured bacterium. Its description in RNAcentral is "partial 16S ribosomal RNA". It matches the Rfam family "Bacterial small subunit ribosomal RNA", at positions 28 to 507 of the family's 1533-position model. The record is from RNAcentral.
GAUAAACGCUGGCGGCGCACAUAAGACAUGCAAGUUGAACGGACUUAAUCGAAAUAUUUAUAUUUUGAAGCGGUUAGUGGCGGGCUGGUGAGUAACGCGUAAGGAACCUGCCUAUUAGAGGGGAAUAACAGUGAGAAAUCAUUGCUAAUACCGCAUAUGCCAUAGAUAUCACAUGAUAACAGUGGGAAAGGAGCAAUCCGCUAAUAGAUGGCCUUGCGUCUGAUUAGCUAGUUGGUGGGGUAACGGCCUACCAAGGCGACGAUCAGUAGCCGGACUGAGAGGUUGAGCGGCAAAAUUGGGACUGAGAUACGGCCCAGAAUCCUUCGGGAAGGAGCAGUAGGGAAUAUUGCGCAAUGGAGGUAACUCUGACGCAGUGACGCCGCGUAUAGGAAGAAGGUUUUCGGAUUGUAAACUAUUGUCGUUAGGGAAGAGAAAGGACAGUACCUAAGGAGGAAGCUCCGGCUAACUACGUG